GUGCUCAUUGCAGCAGUACACAUGCUAAAACUGGAACAAUACAGAGAAGAUGAGUAUGGCUCCUGGACAAGGAUAAUAUGAAAAUACAUGUAGCAAUCUAUAUUUUU
Molecule: small nuclear RNA, 107 nt
Organism: Choloepus hoffmanni (Hoffmann's two-fingered sloth)
Lineage: Eukaryota; Metazoa; Chordata; Mammalia; Pilosa; Megalonychidae
Source: Ensembl